GUUGUUGCUGGGUUUGGUAUAUGACCCGGGGUGCAUUUCUGCCAAGCUUCACAGGACUCCUGCAUCUUGUGGAUCGCACCUGAAGGUUUUAUCUGCAUUUCCAGAGCUGUCCCAGAGACCCAGCAGAGGAAAAAUCAGCUGCGCUCCCCCAGAACAGCUGAAACCAGCACAGAUCUGGCAAGGGAAAAGGGGGAGAAGUGCUAAUUGCCGAGAUGUGUGAUGCACACACAGAGCCAUCGUGUUGAUAUGAUUGCAAAGCUGGGUAACGUCAGCAUCCCAGAGACCCUCCUCCAACUCGGAUUAGAGAGAAGAGGCUCAACGGUGCCGAGCAGCAGGUGCCGGAGGAGGCAGCCGGAGCCGCUCGCCAGGGGACCUUGGGAGCAGGGAGUAGCCGUGUGGGAAACUUCUUCAUUGUUUGUGAAAUCUCAGUCAAUGAAAAGAGUCUGAACUCCGACACAAAGGCGCUAAUUAAACACUGCCACGCUCCUGCUCCAGCACGGAAAAGCAAGCACUGUGGAAGUGAAACAGCAGCCAUCCCCCAUCCAAGGGCUGCAAAUAACCGACCCGGCACAAACCUUCAUCUCACCCUCCCUGUUCCUGCCAGCCCCGGGAAGAACUCCUGCUGCAGGCAGUUGAACUGGAGCCACUUGACUUCUCCAGCAGAGAAAACCCACAACUCACCAGGAUGCUCUCCGAGAGAAAUGUUCCUUGAUCUACAUAGGGAGUUAUAAUUCUCAUUUGCUUUUUUCAUGGAGCAUUAUGUGUCUUUCAAUCAUUUUUUUUCCCCCGUCACUUCAAAAUGUAAUUUCCCCAACGGUGGGGAACAGCUAGAUGGUCCAUGCUGCCUCACAACCCACCUUUUGGAAAUAAUCCACUUCUGAACGAGAGAGCAGCUGCUACUCAAACAGGAAAAAAAAGGCUCUCCCUCCUGAGCUAGCAGGGCUUUCAAUGACAUCUGAGG
RNAcentral lists this long non-coding RNA (961 nucleotides) under Calidris pugnax (ruff). Its description in RNAcentral is "lncRNA (ENSCPUG00000006749.1)". The record is from RNAcentral. Lineage: Eukaryota; Metazoa; Chordata; Aves; Charadriiformes; Scolopacidae.